Molecule: unclassified non-coding RNA, 153 nt
Filed under: uncultured Tolypocladium
Lineage: Eukaryota; Fungi; Ascomycota; Sordariomycetes; Hypocreales; Clavicipitaceae
Description: sequence contains ITS2
Source: RNAcentral
CAACCCUCAAGCCCCGGCCGGCUUGGUGUUGGGGACCGGCCCCGGCCGCCCCCCAAAUGCAGUGGCGACCUCGCCGCAGCCUCCCCUGCGUAGUAGCACAACCUCGCACCGGAGCGCGGAGACGGUCACGCCGUAAAACGCCCAACUUCUCAG